Long non-coding RNA from Dama dama (fallow deer), 721 nucleotides. RefSeq lists it as uncharacterized. Lineage: Eukaryota; Metazoa; Chordata; Mammalia; Artiodactyla; Cervidae. The record is from RefSeq and is a predicted model, not a curated record. The transcript has 3 exons.
GGGCUGAGGACCAGCAGGAAUAAUGGGUGAUGGAAACCAGAGGAAGGAAGGUGGGAGGCACAGGCUGGAGCUACUUUAGUGGAUCUCAGUGGAGAAAUGAAGAGUGAGGGGCAGCAGGCGUGGGGAAAAUGGCAGGAGUGUGUGUGUUCCAGGGAGAAGGAACAGUAGGUAAUCGGAAUCUCAUCCCCAUCAAUCUUCCCACUUGUGCACAGGAAGGGGGCAGAGAUUCGCGUCCCAGCAUCGUUUAUAGAAAUGGAAAUUUGCAAAGAACCUAGAAGGCCACCAAUGGGGUGCUUGAGCACAAAUAAGAGACACCCAUGAUGCAGAGGGUCAGGCGGAAGAAGGGUGUACUAGGAGGAGACUGGAAGACCCACAGAAUCUAGGACCACACAGCUGACCAAGGCUGUCACCACCAUCGGGGACCGUAGCUGGUAAAGGAAGAAAGGAAAUGUUGGUUAUCAACGUGCACCAGACACACACAGGGGAGCACCACUCUCCUUGAAGCAAUGAGCCACAAACCCACAGCAUCCUCCUCUCUUACCGGCUCCCUGGACCUCUGCCCAGAGCCAGCACCCCAGAAGUGAAGGAGACAAGCCCGUGACCGGCAGAGACGGAGAAAGAAGGACACACGCACCCGGACAGACGAGCAGCUGGAGUCGGUUUGGAGGAAUCAUGGGGAGCCGGCUGCAGGCUGUGAUCUAAAGAGAGAAAAGGAGCAGGG